Molecule: long non-coding RNA, 413 nt
Filed under: Capsella rubella
Lineage: Eukaryota; Viridiplantae; Streptophyta; Magnoliopsida; Brassicales; Brassicaceae
Description: long non-coding RNA (CRUB_LNC005206)
Source: RNAcentral
AUUUAGCAAAUGAGCACCAUUUCACUUUUGGAACAUGCUCUCUCAUUCUUUAACUAAUUUUAUUUCCAUUUUUGUUUUAUUUUAAUCUAAAAAGUUAUAAUCUCAACCAGAAAACAAAAAAAAUAAGUUUGUACAAAUCGACGUUUAAAGUUGUUUAAUAGUAAAUGUAUAUUAAAAACGAACAGUACGAAUACGCGUAACGCAUGCAAUUAGGUGUAUCAUUAGACAUACUAAAAUUACAAAAGAGAUUGCGGCUAAAAGUGGAAAUAAUACACACAUUUUUUAUUUUUUUAUUUAUUUUUUAUAGUUAUUUCUGUUUAGCUAACUGUAUUUAAAUACCUUGUAGGUGUAACCACAUGCGAGAGACUGAUUGACUUAAAAACUUAUAUACAUACAAUAGAGUUCACUUUUCU